AUUGAACGCUGGCGGCAGGCCUAACACAUGCAAGUCGAACGAGUGGCGGACGGGUGAGUAAUGUCUGGGCAACUGCCUGAUGGAGGGGGAUAACUACUGGAAACGGUAGCUAAUACCGCAUACCAUCAGAUGUGCGCAGAUUGGAUGAGCGUGUUGGUGGGGUAACGGCUCACCAAGGCGACGAGCCCUAGCUGGGCUGAGAGGAUGACCGGCCACACUGGAACUGAGACACGGCCCAGACUCCUACGGGAGUCAGCAGUUGGGAAUAUUUCCCAAUGGGCGAAAGCCUGAUGCAGCCAUGCCGCGUGUGUUAAGAAGGCCUUCGGGUUGUAAAGUACUUUCAUCGGGGAGGCGUUACCCGAAGAGGAAGCACCGGCUAACUCCGUGCCAGCCGCCGCGGUAAUUC
This 406-nucleotide ribosomal RNA is filed under the name uncultured bacterium. RNAcentral's name for it is "partial 16S ribosomal RNA". It matches the Rfam family "Bacterial small subunit ribosomal RNA", at positions 30 to 526 of the family's 1533-position model. The record is from RNAcentral.